GAUGAACGCUGGCGGCGUGCCUAACACAUGCAAGUCGAGGGGCUCGUUGUAGCAAUACGGCGAGCCACUGGCGCACGGGUGAGUAACGCGUAGGUUAUCUACCCCCAACUCAGGCAUAACACCUCCAACGAGGUGCUAAUACCUGAUGAGGAGGCAGCUCCAAAGACCUUCGGGUCGGUUGGGGAUGAGCCUGCGUCCGAUUAGGUAGUUGGUAGGGUAAUGGCCUACCAAGCCGACGAUCGGUAGCUGGCCUGAGAGGGUGGUCAGCCACACUGGGACUGAGACACGGCCCAGACUCCUACGGGAGGCAGCAUG
This 315-nucleotide ribosomal RNA is filed under the name uncultured bacterium. Its description in RNAcentral is "bacterial SSU rRNA". It matches the Rfam family "Bacterial small subunit ribosomal RNA", at positions 28 to 355 of the family's 1533-position model. The record is from RNAcentral.